RNAcentral lists this long non-coding RNA (435 nucleotides) under Lathyrus oleraceus (garden pea). RNAcentral's name for it is "Pisum sativum (pea) long non-coding RNA (PSAT_LNC005334)". Lineage: Eukaryota; Viridiplantae; Streptophyta; Magnoliopsida; Fabales; Fabaceae. The record is from RNAcentral.
AGUGAUGACACCAUGUUCAUGCCUUGUAACCUCGAGCCUUUCUAGACGUCCCAAAUAAUUGUAUCCCUUGUAAACCCCAGUUGAGCUUGUACCCAUUUGUUUGUUUAAACCCCGUAAAUGUACCCCUUGGCCAAAACACUUCCUUACCUUGUUCAGAGUCAUAUUGAUAUUAUUAAACUGUGUUGAAAAGCUAUGUUUGGGGUAAAAAACUCCAAGAGUUCCAAAAGCCCAGGUACGGGCUAAAACAAAGAAAAAAUUAGAAAAUCACCGAGAGAAAAAAAAGAACGAAUAUAUAAAUAAACUCGAAGGUUCAAAAGAAGCACGAGCCAAAGAAAGGCCCUCGGUUGAAAAAUAGAAAAAAGAGAAACCGAGUGAAAAAUAAAAGAAAAACAAACCAACACAGCAAACAUGAUGGUAACAUUGACUCUGAACCAA